GGGGAACAACAGCUGGAAACGGCUGCUAAUACCCCAUAGGCUGAGGAGCAAAAGGAGGAAUCCGCCCAAGGAGGGGCUCGCGUCUGAUUAGUUAGUUGGUGAGGCAAUGGCUUACCAAGGCGACGAUCAGUAGCUGGUCCGAGAGGAUGAUCAGCCACACUGGGACUGAGACACGGCCCAGACUCCUACGGGAGGCAGCAGUGGGGAAUUUUCCGCAAUGGGCGAAAGCCUGACGGAGCAAUGCCGCGUGAAGGCAGAAGGCCCACGGGUCAUGAACUUCUUUUCUCGGAGAAGAAAAAAUGACGGUAUCUGAGGAAUAAGCAUCGGCUAACUCUGUGCCAGCAGCCGCGGUAAGACAGAGGAUGCAAGCGUUAUCCGGAAUGAUUGGGCGUAAAGCGUCUGUAGGUGGCUUUUCAAGUCCGCCGUC
This 427-nucleotide ribosomal RNA is filed under the name uncultured organism. Its description in RNAcentral is "bacterial SSU rRNA". It matches the Rfam family "Bacterial small subunit ribosomal RNA", at positions 138 to 596 of the family's 1533-position model. The record is from RNAcentral.